RNAcentral lists this transfer RNA (65 nucleotides) under Gondwanalimnadia sp. MT-2020. RNAcentral's name for it is "tRNA-Asp". The record is from RNAcentral. Lineage: Eukaryota; Metazoa; Arthropoda; Branchiopoda; Diplostraca; Limnadiidae.
GGAGGAUUAGUUAAUAUCAAUAACACGAGUAUGUCAAGCUCGAAUAACUGUUUAAGUAUCCUCUU